Molecule: ribosomal RNA, 329 nt
Filed under: uncultured eukaryote
Lineage: Eukaryota
Description: partial 18S ribosomal RNA
Rfam family: Eukaryotic small subunit ribosomal RNA
Source: RNAcentral
CCCUUAGAUGUUCUGGGCCGCACGCGCGCUACACUGAUGCAUUCAACGAGUCUAAAACCUGCUCUGAUAGGGGUGGGUAAUCUUUUGAAUGUGCAUCGUGAUUGGGAUAGAUGAUUGCAAUUUUUCAUCUUCAACGAGGAAUGCCUAGUAAACGCAAGUCAUCAGCUUGCAUUGAUUACGUCCCUGCCCUUUGUACACACCGCCCGUCGCUCCUACCGAUUGAAUGAUCCGAUGAAUAUCAUGGAUUGAGGAUUAUAGCAGGUUCGCCUGUCUUGAUCUUCGAGAAGUGAAGUAAAUCUUAGCAUUUAGAGGAAGGAGAAGUCGUAACA